AUGCCCAGCACUGGAUCCACAUGUAUCAACUCUGAGCUGAGGGGAGGGAUUUCCUCCCCAGACUUGCUCGCAGCACCAGCUCAUGCAGCCCAGAAGGUGCUGGAUUUCUUUGAUGUAAGGACAUGCUGCUGGUUUGUGCCCACGUUGGUGUCCAUUAUAACCUCCAAUUCAUCCUCUGCUGAGCUGCUUUCCCCCCGGCUCUGUGACCUCGCAGCACAGAUGGCCCACCAGUGCAUGUCUUUAGCAGGCACUUUGAAGGCAACCUCUGAAAGGAGACAACAGUCCUGAGAAGCUCUUUAGCCUAGCUUCAGAAAAUCACAAGAUUGCAGAAGUUGGAGUGGAGCUCCAUUCCAAGAGAUGAGAAUCCAACCCCUCUGCUAAAGUAGGUUCCCUACAGUAGGUCACACAGGUAGAUGUCCAGACAGGUCUUGAAUAUCUCCAUAGCAAGAGGCUCCACAACCUCUCUGAGCAACGUAUUCCAGUGCUCUGUCACUUUUAUGAUAGAUAAGUUAUUCCACAUGUUAGUACAGAAUUCCCUAUGUUCAAGUUUUAGGCCAUUACUCCUCAUUCUGUUGCUACCACCGAGAUGAACCUGGCCUCAUCCAUUUGCCUCCCACCUCCCUAAAAGGAGGGAUACCCUCUCAGUCUUCUUUUCCCCAGGCUGAGAAGACCCAGAUCCUAUCUGUUAUUUUAGAAACUCAAGUUCGAGGGCAUUCUUUUUAAAAGAUUAGAGAAAAAAGAUGUUGCUUUCUCACAAGAGUUGAGGAAAGCAACGCUACAGGCAAACUGGGAUAAUAGAAAGAGCAGGUAUUUCUGAGGAGUUCUCAGCCUGGAAGACAGCACUUUUGUUAUCUUGCCUUCAGUAUCACAUGAAUAAGGACUAAGAUGCUUAUGAUCAUCAGUUCAUUUGAGCAAGACUUUACAGUUUGAAUUUAUCUGUUUGAUUUGAGUACUUUAGUGAUCGUCAUAUGAUUGGAAAUGUCAUGCUUUCCUACCACAGAUGAAAAUGGUCAAAAUGUCUGUCUCCGGGUGAGUAAGAUGUGUUUCUUUUCAUCAAAUUACUAUGGUAUUUGCUUUUUUUUCCAACUAUAGUUGGGAUAUUGAUGGAACUCACUGCACGUUAACUAAAAGUGAAGGGAACUACAAGCUAGAGAAGCAUCAAAAUACAGUACUGUAAAGGUUUUUAAUUCAACGUAAGAUACCAAUGAACUACAUAGCUAAUAUGUUUUUUCAUUUGGUUUGUAAUCUGAAUUAUCUCCAGGGAGAAUUUGUACAAGGCACUCUGUUCCUCCUUUUCCAUAAAAGUCACCCAUAAGAUAGCAUUACUAAAUUGUGAUAUUUAAAAUGCAGGUGAAUAAUUUUCUCUUAGAAGUUGAUUUACUCAGCUGAACUGAACUGAAACUGAACUGAAACAUCAAAAAAAGGAAUAACAUAUUAUUGUAAAAAUAAUUGUUACGCUUAGCCGAGGGGAAUUACUCAGAGGCUUCGUUAAGUAGACUACUAAUUCUCUUUUUUUCCUCUUGCUAAGGAUGCGUAAUAAAAGUUUCAGAAGGAAUGCUUUCCUUACACACUGCUGCACAAUGGGGAAGUGGGAAAAAAUACAGCAAUUGUGUUCAUAGAACUACUGCUGUUCAACUGAGAGAGUAGCUUGAAGCUUACCAAAUGUAAGAUGAAGGCCUGAUAUUACUGCUUUUCCAGAAAAUGUGAGAGACACCGAGGAGAGGAAAUUAAACCUAAUUCAGACUCAGAGUGUAUUUAUCUCUUCACGUCAUCAUCUUGUGUUUCACCGUUUUAUAUAGAAUGCCAGAUUUCUAGCCAUGUUUCAGAAGUCUCGCAUUAUCCCAGGCCACAUUUAGCUGUGCAAACUGUUCCUCCAUUCACAGAAUAAUAGAAUGGCUUGCAUUGGAAGGGACCUCAAGGCCCAUCCAAUUCCAACCCUCUGCCAGGAGCAGGGCUGCCAAGCACUGAAUCAGGCUGCUCAGGGCCCCAGUUGAUUGUGUCCAGGUCCCACUGGAUGGCAUCCCUUCUUACAUCACUCAGCUUCGUGCCAUCAGAAAACUUGCUGAGGGUGCACUCAGUCCCACUGUCUUUGUCAUUGAUAAAGGUGUUUAAGAUCAUUGGUCACAGGACGGAUCCCUGAGGACUUGUAACUUCAGUUCCUGUAACUUCAGUUAGUAUUUUAAAAUAGAGGAGUGAACUGGUAUGCAGGCUCCCAUGCUCUUUCCUAGACAUCUCAUCAUUGUUAUUAAGCACUGCUGUUUUUCAUUUGCAUUUUCAUUUGCUGCAUUAGGAAGUAGGUAAUUAGAGCACCAACGUUCUUUCUGUCACAAAUUCUAAAUGAAAAGGUUAUGAGGAAAUUUUUGCUCUUCUCUGAUGAAACCAUUUUAUAAGCUCCAUUGUGGCAGGUGUGCUGUUGAGUUUAGUGUGAGAAGGCAGAAAAAGGCAUAUCUGACCUUUCAGCUUUCCCUUAGAUAGCUGAAACUAGCCCUCUGUUGCAGUUACUAUCAGUUAAAUGGGAAACAAUACUGAUUUGGGGAAAACGAUACAAUAUAUAUAAGAAUUUAUACUCAGGAAAAUUUGUGGAGCUUGGUAUCUAUGGCUUUUGAUUGCAAAUUAAAAAUCCCAAGAUAUUUUCUUAUACUUUCUGUAUUUCUGCAUGUAUUUUCAGGUAUAGGAAGUGCAAAAUGAGGAAAAGUGCGGAUUCAUAAAAGUGGAUUUGUAUACAAUUUUGCCUAUGUUUUCUUUUUAAAGUCAUCCAUAAUAUAACAUCGCCUUUUGAUAUUUCUAAGUAAUCUUUUUCCUUGGUUCAACUGCUAUAGCUUGACAUUUGUUUCAAACAAAAGCUGAGGCCUCUGCCUUAUUGCUUUAUGUGCAUGAGCUCCAUCGAAAAUAAUGUUAUUACUAAGGGAACAGUACCAGAGAAUUGUUUCUUGGAACUGAAUCCACAAGGGAAAUGGCACAUAGCUGUUGCCUAUCCUUGUAACAGCAAUAGCCUGUAACACACUUGCAG
Meleagris gallopavo (turkey) is the source of this 3010-nucleotide long non-coding RNA. Lineage: Eukaryota; Metazoa; Chordata; Aves; Galliformes; Phasianidae. The record is from Ensembl.